ACGCUGGCGGCACGCCUAACACAUGCAAGUCGAACGAAGUAGCAAUACUUAGUGGCGAACGGGUGAGUAUAAUGUGGGUAUCUGCCCUUUGGUUUGGAAUAACACGAGGAAACUUGUGCUAAUACCGGAUAAGCCUUCACAGGGAAAGCUUUAGCGCCAAAGGAUGAGUCCGCACUUGAUUAGCUAGUUGGUAAGGUAAUGGCUUACCAAGGCUACGAUCAAUAGCUGAUCUGAGAGGAUGAUCAGCCACAUUGGGACUGAGACACGGCCCAAACUUCUACGGAAGGCAGCAGUGGGGAGUCUUGCACAAUGGGGGAAACCCUGAUGCAGCGAUGCCGCGUGAGUGAAGAAGGCCCUUGGGUUGUAAAGCUCUUUCGUCGGGGAAGAAAAUGACUGUACCCGAAUAAGAAGGUCCGGCUAACUUCGUGCCAGCAGCCGCGGUAAUACGAAGGGACCUAGCGUAGUUCGGAAUUACUGGGCUUAAAGAGCACGUAGGUGGUUAAGAAAGUUGGUGGUGAAAUCCCAAGGCUUAACCUUGGAACUGCCACCAAAACUUUUUAACUAGGGUAUGAUUGAGGUAAGCGGAAUUCCUAGUGUAGAGGUGAAAUUCGUAGAUAUUAGAAAGAACACCAAUUGCGAAGGCAGCUUUCUGGAUCAUUACUGACACUGAGGUGCGAAGGCAUGGGUAGCGAAGAGGAUUAGAUACCCUCGUAGUCCAUGCCGUAAACGAUGUGUGCUAGACGUUGGGAAUUUAUUUUUCAGUGUCGCAGCAAAAGCGUUAAGCACACCGCCUGGGGAGUACGACCGCAAGGUUAAAACUCAAAUGAAUUGACGGGGACCCGCACAAGUAGUGGAGCAUGUGGUUUAAUUCGAAGAUACGCGCAGAACCUUACCAACACUUGACAUGUUCGUCGCGACUCUAAGAGAUUAGAGUUUUCGGUUCGGCCGGACGAAACACAGGUGCUGCAUGGCUGUCGUCAGCUCGUGUCGUGAGAUGUUGGGUUAAGUCCCGCAACGAGCGCAACCCCUACUUUUAGUUGCUACCAUUUAGUUGGGCACUCUAAAAGAACUGCCAGUGAUAAGCUGGAGGAAGGUGGGGAUGACGUCAAGUCCUCAUGGCCCUUAUGUGUUGGGCUACACACGUGCUACAAUGGUAUUUACAGUGGGAUGCAAAGAGGCAACUCCAAGCCAACCCUCAAAGAAUACCUCAGUUCGGAUUGUACUCUGCAACUCGAGUACAUGAAGCUGGAAUUACUAGUAAUCGCAGAUCAGCGCGCCGCGGUGAAUACGUUCCCGGGUCUUGUACACACCGCCCGUCACACCAUGGAAGUUGGUUACACCUUAAGGCAAAGUGUAAAACCUUUGACUACGGUACGAUCAGCGACUGGGGUG
RNAcentral lists this ribosomal RNA (1392 nucleotides) under uncultured bacterium. RNAcentral describes it as "16S ribosomal RNA". It matches the Rfam family "Bacterial small subunit ribosomal RNA". The record is from RNAcentral.